Molecule: RNA transcript, 935 nt
Organism: Populus trichocarpa (black cottonwood)
Lineage: Eukaryota; Viridiplantae; Streptophyta; Magnoliopsida; Malpighiales; Salicaceae
Exons: 3
Source: RefSeq, a predicted model, not a curated record
CAAAAUUAUUGUAUUGUAUAUCAUGUUGCCGAAUACUGGCUGAUACAAGGUCAUAUUUCUCUAGUUAUUUAAAUCAGCAUAAGAUACCUACGAAGUUGUUGACCUCUGAGGGGGAUGUAUCCUCCCCAGCUCCCUCUACUAUAUAAACCCAGCAAACGUACAAACCUGAUUUCUCAUACCAUCUUCCAUUUCUCAUUUGCUGAUCAGAUAAAUAUGGCCUUGAUCGCAUUCCUGGCUCUCUCUCUUCUCCUUAGUGGAGCUCUUGGCGAGCUUGUAUGCGAGCAGUUGCCGGUUGAUCUCUGCUCAUAUUCAAUUGCAACUUCUGGGAAGCGAUGUUUGCUGGAGAAUUACGCGACGAAAGAUGGAGGUGUGAAGUACCAAUGCAAGACUUCUGAGGUUGUUGUAGAUAAACUGAACGAAUGGAUUGAGAUCGAUGAAUGUAUAACUGCAUGUGGCCUCAGUAGAAACACUGUUGGUAUCUCAUCAGACUCUCUCCUUCAGCCUCAGUUUUUACUAAACUUUGCUCCAAGUCGUGCUCUCAAGCUUGCCCCAACAUCGUCGAUCUCUACUCCAAUUUGGCCCUAGCAGAAGGAGUUUACUUGCCAAACCUGUGCGCCAGUCCCCGCCGUGCCAUGUACCAGACUAGAAGCAAUGGCGAUGCAGCCCCUGCACCCGCCUCUGUUGGAGCCCUUUCACCCGAAUCUGCCAUAUCUGGUGCUGCUGAUGUCGCUUGCGCUCCAACUUCCAUUUGAUUCUGUUAUUGGAGUAAUUUAUACCAUGUUUAUCAAUUAGAGAUCAUGUACGAUCCUUCUGCUGUAUAGUUCAAAAGGGAUUAAAAAAACAGAGAAUACCGAGCCUAUUAUUAUAUACACAAUCUCUCCUGUAAUCGCGAUAAUAAUAAUUAGGAGUACUUUCUAUGCAUGCCUGUUUAAAUA